Molecule: small RNA, 147 nt
Filed under: Winogradskyella sp.
Lineage: Bacteria; Pseudomonadati; Bacteroidota; Flavobacteriia; Flavobacteriales; Flavobacteriaceae
Description: 6S RNA
Rfam family: 6S-Flavo RNA
Source: RNAcentral
ACUCAACGAUCAUUUCUUUAAAAAGGGUGAGUUUAAGUUGUAAAAUCGUGCUGCUAGUGCUUUAUGCUGAACUUGUUUCAGUCCGUAAAGUAUCUCAGGCAGAUUUUUGAUCAGCUUGUUAGCCCUAAACAUUUUUUUAAGGAGUUU